AGGAAGUGAGAGAACAAAAGAGAGAGGAGAAGAAAAGAGAAGAACACUCGUUUUCCUUGUAUGGUUGAUUGAUUGCUCAUUUAUUUAGUGAUUUGAUUAUUUUG
RNAcentral lists this non-coding RNA (104 nucleotides) under Chromera velia. Lineage: Eukaryota; Chromeraceae. The record is from RNAcentral.